Molecule: ribosomal RNA, 1500 nt
Filed under: metagenome
Description: bacterial SSU rRNA
Rfam family: Bacterial small subunit ribosomal RNA
Source: RNAcentral
AGAGUUUGAUCAUGGCUCAGAUUGAACGCUGGCGGCAGGCCUAACACAUGCAAGUCGAACGGUAACAGGAAGCAGCUUGCUGCUUCGCUGACGAGUGGCGGACGGGUGAGUAAUGUCUGGGAAGCUGCCUGAUGGAGGGGGAUAACUACUGGAAACGGUAGCUAAUACCGCAUAAUGUCGCAAGACCAAAGAGGGGGACCUUCGGGCCUCUUGCCAUCGGAUGUGCCCAGAUGGGAUUAGCUUGUUGGUGGGGUAACGGCUCACCAAGGCGACGAUCCCUAGCUGGUCUGAGAGGAUGACCAGCCACACUGGAACUGAGACACGGUCCAGACUCCUACGGGAGGCAGCAGUGGGGAAUAUUGCACAAUGGGCGCAAGCCUGAUGCAGCCAUGCCGCGUGUAUGAAGAAGGCCUUCGGGUUGUAAAGUACUUUCAGCGGGGAGGAAGGGAGUAAAGUUAAUACCUUUGCUCAUUGACGUUACCCGCAGAAGAAGCACCGGCUAACUCCGUGCCAGCAGCCGCGGUAAUACGGAGGGUGCAAGCGUUAAUCGGAAUUACUGGGCGUAAAGCGCACGCAGGCGGUUUGUUAAGUCAGAUGUGAAAUCCCCGGGCUCAACCUGGGAACUGCAUCUGAUACUGGCAAGCUUGAGUCUCGUAGAGGGGGGUAGAAUUCCAGGUGUAGCGGUGAAAUGCGUAGAGAUCUGGAGGAAUACCGGUGGCGAAGGCGGCCCCCUGGACGAAGACUGACGCUCAGGUGCGAAAGCGUGGGGAGCAAACAGGAUUGGAUACCCUGGUAGUCCACGCCGUAAACGAUGUCGACUUGGAGGUUGUGCCCUUGAGGCGUGGCUUCCGGAGCUAACGCGUUAAGUCGACCGCCUGGGGAGUACGGCCGCAAGGUUAAAACUCAAAUGAAUUGACGGGGGCCCGCACAAGCGGUGGAGCAUGUGGUUUAAUUCGAUGCAACGCGAAGAACCUUACCUGGUCUUGACAUCCACGGAAGUUUUCAGAGAUGAGAAUGUGCCUUCGGGAACCGUGAGACAGGUGCUGCAUGGCUGUCGUCAGCUCGUGUUGUGAAAUGUUGGGUUAAGUCCCGCAACGAGCGCAACCCUUAUCCUUUGUUGCCAGCGGUCCGGCCGGGAACUCAAAGGAGACUGCCAGUGAUAAACUGGAGGAAGGUGGGGAUGACGUCAAGUCAUCAUGGCCCUUACGACCAGGGCUACACACGUGCUACAAUGGCGCAUACAAAGAGAAGCGACCUCGCGAGAGCAAGCGGACCUCAUAAAGUGCGUCGUAGUCCGGAUUGGAGUCUGCAACUCGACUCCAUGAAGUCGGAAUCGCUAGUAAUCGUGGAUCAGAAUGCCACGGUGAAUACGUUCCCGGGCCUUGUACACACCGCCCGUCACACCAUGGGAGUGGGUUGCAAAAGAAGUAGGUAGCUUAACCUUCGGGAGGGCGCUUACCACUUUGUGAUUCAUGACUGGGGUGAAGUCGGAACAAGGUA